Molecule: long non-coding RNA, 1230 nt
Organism: Megalobrama amblycephala (Wuchang bream)
Lineage: Eukaryota; Metazoa; Chordata; Actinopteri; Cypriniformes; Xenocyprididae
Exons: 6
Source: RefSeq, a predicted model, not a curated record
UGUUAAUCAAACAGUGUUAAUCUGCAUUUACUCUUAAGGAGUUAAUUUAACAACAAAUAGUGAAAAAUACCCCCUAGUGUUGGUGAAAAUAAUCAGAGUUGAAUUCUACUUCGUUAAAUUUACUCUGUUAAGCUCCGCCCCUUAAGCCAACUCUGAAGACCUGAGCGGAAGUUCUCUCGUCGCCAUUUUCUUUUGCCUCGCACUAAAAGCUUCUCCUGUGCACUCAAACAAGUCCCUGUCUUCAUCCUUUGACUCCACUGACUCACAGGACACACUCAUUAUUGAAGAACGGUUUUCAAGUACACGAAUGAGGCUCGAUGAUGAAGCUAAAAAAGUACAUCACAACCAAGGAAUGUGAAUGAGAAAUAUCCCAGAGUAAUUGUGGUGUUCCUGUAUCUCAGUGGACCCCACCCCCACGAGCAUUGCUAUGUUGGUGAGAGUGCCACCAGAUACUUGACAUGGAGAAUCAAAACUAUACAGAGAGGCAUUGCUAAAGAACAAGGAGUAUCAUUUGAAGGAAAAGGAUUGUCUUGUCAAGGCCAGAAAAGGUGUCUACAUCUCAAGUGGGGAUUAUCUUGUCUUCUAGAAGAGUGAAACAAGCAUUGAGGAGCAUCUUCAAGACAUCGCUGGAAGUGCUCAGUCCUAUCACCUGGCUGUUGAAACCGAGAAUUCAGUUCACCAGUUCUUUAUUCUUGAUCAACAUGUCAUUCCAUGCAAGUCAGCCUCUUCUUUUGUUGCCUUUUGAUGAAAUGUUUUAAUGGGAUUAUGUUUAAUGUUUAAUGGGUUUAAUUCACCUAAAAAUGAGAAUUCUGUCAUUAACUCUCCCUCAUGCCGUUCCAAACCCGUAAGACCUUCGUUCAUCUUUGAAACAACAAUGAAGAUAUUUUAAUGAAAUCUGAAAGUUUUCUGUCCCUCUGUUGACAGUUUACACAACUAGCACAUUCAAGGCCCCGACAAGUAGUAAUGAGACAUUAAAGUAAUCCAUGUUACUCUGUUGGUUUAACCUCAACUUUAUACACGCAUUCACACAACGACUGCUUUCAUUUCAGCAAAUCACUCAUGCGUCGUGGUGCUCUCAUGUACGCAAGUCCGGUUUUGCGUUGCUUCAUAAAACUGAAGUUAAAUCAACAGAGUCACAUGGGUAACUUUAAUGAUGUCUUUACUGCCUUUCUGCACCUUGAAAGUGGUAGUUGUGUAGGCUGUCAAUGAAGUGACAGAAGUCUCCCAGAU